GCGAGGGUGGUGGAAUUGGUAGACACGCUGGACUUAGGAUCCAGUGGCUGAUGCCGUAGGGGUUCGAGUCCCCUCCUUCGCACCA
RNAcentral lists this transfer RNA (85 nucleotides) under Synergistaceae bacterium. Its description in RNAcentral is "tRNA-Leu". It matches the Rfam family "tRNA". Rfam says of the family: Transfer RNA (tRNA) molecules are approximately 80 nucleotides in length. Their secondary structure includes four short double-helical elements and three loops (D, anti-codon, and T loops). Further hydrogen bonds mediate the characteristic L-shaped molecular structure. tRNAs have two regions of fundamental functional importance: the anti-codon, which is responsible for specific mRNA codon recognition, and the 3' end, to which the tRNAs corresponding amino acid is attached (by aminoacyl-tRNA synthetases). tRNAs cope with the degeneracy of the genetic code in two manners: having more than one tRNA (with a specific anti-codon) for a particular amino acid; and 'wobble' base-pairing, i.e. permitting non-standard base-pairing at the 3rd anti-codon position. Lineage: Bacteria; Thermotogati; Synergistota; Synergistia; Synergistales; Synergistaceae. The record is from RNAcentral.